Prosopis cineraria is the source of this 107-nucleotide small nucleolar RNA. Lineage: Eukaryota; Viridiplantae; Streptophyta; Magnoliopsida; Fabales; Fabaceae. The record is from RefSeq and is a predicted model, not a curated record.
AAUUGGUGAUGGGGACAUAAGCUUAUGAGGAGAUUAUAACGUUCUCAGGCUUCAUGAAAUAAUUUACCAUUUUACCAUGUGAAGAAGUAAAUCUUGUCCCUUAAUUU